Electrophorus electricus (electric eel) is the source of this 318-nucleotide long non-coding RNA. RefSeq lists it as uncharacterized. The record is from RefSeq and is a predicted model, not a curated record. Lineage: Eukaryota; Metazoa; Chordata; Actinopteri; Gymnotiformes; Gymnotidae.
GGCACUGAAGAAGGGUGAAGAACUCCACAUGAAUGCUUGUCUUUUCGUGCGAGAGGUCCAGCUCUGGCUAGUCGAUAAGCAGGAGGGGGUGACCAGUACUGACACGAAACCCGAGGUUCAGCAGAGCAAAGUAAAGGUGAACAAAGUGUGAGGAAAAACCCCUACACUGCAUCACACAAGAACGAGGAAAGGGGAAGGAGAGUUCACGGUGUGUUGAAGCCGUCCUGAUAUUGGCUGUUUGUGAAAAGGCAGCAGGGUCAUUUGAUUGUUCCAUUCCGAAAAGUGAAAGUGUGUGGGACUGCCCUGGUGAGAGGUGAC